AAUGACAAGCAGGAGAUUACUUAAGAUUUUUGCAGCUUGGCUCUCCAUUUUAUUUUGCUAACUGCAAUUAUAUUAGAGAAAAAAUUCUGAGAUAGAUUAAAGAUGAAGAUUCUAAAGGAAAAGACAUUGAGUAUUUACUACUACAUUUUGGAGGUAAAUAUUUUAAAAAAAUAUUUUUCACUUACAUUUUGAAUUUUUAAAAAUAGUUAUUUUAAUAUGUUAACUAAAUUGCAUAUAUUAACUAUUGAGGCAUGAACUCGAUGAGAUAU
Long non-coding RNA from Ipomoea nil (Japanese morning glory), 269 nucleotides. RefSeq lists it as uncharacterized. The record is from RefSeq and is a predicted model, not a curated record. The transcript is spliced from 2 exons. NCBI's taxonomy places the organism in Eukaryota, Viridiplantae, Streptophyta, Magnoliopsida, Solanales, Convolvulaceae.